ACAAACUUGGUCAUUUAGAGGAAGUAAAAGUCGUAACAAGGUUUCCGUAGGUGAACCUGCGGAAGGAUCAUUAUCGAAAUCAAAGGUCCAGGUUGUAGCUGGCCCUCAGGGGCAUGUGCACGCCUGUGUCCGCAUAUAAAUCCAUCCCAUCCCUGUGCACCUUUGCGUGGGUUCUGUUUGGCUAUUACAGUCAUUCGGACUUGCGUCUUUUUUUACAUUACAAACCUUUUGUAUGUCUUUGAAUGUCAUUUCUUGCGAUAAUCGCAUCUAAUACAACUUUCAACAACGGAUCUCUUGGCUCUCGCAUCGAUGAAGAACGCAGC
Molecule: unclassified non-coding RNA, 323 nt
Filed under: uncultured fungus
Lineage: Eukaryota; Fungi
Description: partial contains small subunit ribosomal RNA, internal transcribed spacer 1, and 5.8S ribosomal RNA
Rfam family: Eukaryotic small subunit ribosomal RNA (bases 1-73)
Source: RNAcentral